GACGAACGCUGGCGGCGUGCUUAACACAUGCAAGUCGAACGGAAAGGCCCUGCUUGCCGGGUACUCGAGUGGCGAACGGGUGAGUAACACGUGGGUGAUCUGCCCUGCACUUCGGGAUAAGCCUGGGAAACUGGGUCUAAUACCGGAUAGGAGCCAUUUUUAGUGUGAUGGUUGGAAAGUUUUUUCGGUGUAGGAUGAGCUCGCGGCCUAUCAGCUUGUUGGUGGGGUAAUGGCCUACCAAGGCGGCGACGGGUAGCCGGCCUGAGAGGGUGGACGGCCACAGUGGGACUGAGAUACGGCCCAGACUCCUACGGGAGGCAGCAGUAGGGAAUAUUGCACAAUGGGCGCAAGCCUGAUGCAGCGACGCCGCGUGGGGGAUGACGGCCUUCGGGUUGUAAACUCCUUUCGCUAGGGACGAAGCUUUUUGUGACGGUACCUAGAGAAGAAGCACCGGCUAACUACGUG
Molecule: ribosomal RNA, 465 nt
Filed under: uncultured bacterium
Lineage: Bacteria
Description: partial 16S ribosomal RNA
Rfam family: Bacterial small subunit ribosomal RNA
Source: RNAcentral